CGGUACAAACUUUCAACCUACUGCCUACGGAAAACAGUAUAAUUAUUGAUUGGCAAAACACUUUGAAUCAAAUAUUUGCAUGUCCAGCACAUUGGUAUUAUGUAACUCUUCAAAAUGAAAAUACAGGCGAGAAUAUUAGUAACUCAACAGUUANCACUUUUCCCCAUGAAGUGUCACAUUUACCAUCAAAUACUCUUUUUAACGUAAUUAUAAUUCAUCCGCGAUUUGCUCAUACAAUCAUAAAACAUAGGAAUUACCUGUUCCUUACUCAAAUUCGUACAUUACGAAGCGUUUCCACAAAAGUAUUAGAUAUUCAAUAUGUUGCGAACUCGAGCACACAAGUCACUUUGAAAUGGAACUCUCCGGAUCACUUAACCAUAGUGCUGUAUAAAAUAUCAUUAAAGGUAACUUUAUGUAACUUGUAGUUAUACGUGUUCAAAUAUCGACAUAUAUGUAAACAUCUUUGUUUUCUAGAUAUUACUUCGAGUAUU
Long non-coding RNA from Pseudomyrmex gracilis, 491 nucleotides. RefSeq lists it as uncharacterized. The transcript is spliced from 3 exons. The record is from RefSeq and is a predicted model, not a curated record. Lineage: Eukaryota; Metazoa; Arthropoda; Insecta; Hymenoptera; Formicidae.